RNAcentral lists this ribosomal RNA (485 nucleotides) under uncultured bacterium. RNAcentral's name for it is "bacterial SSU rRNA". It matches the Rfam family "Bacterial small subunit ribosomal RNA", at positions 28 to 507 of the family's 1533-position model. The record is from RNAcentral.
GACGAACGCUGGCGGCGUGCCUGACACAUGCAAGUCGGACGGUUCUUGCACCUUCAAGCUUGCUUGCUGGUGCAAGGAUAGUGGCGGACGGGUGAGUAACGCGUGAACAUCUACCCAUUGGAGGGGGACAACCCGUCGAAAGGCGGGCUAAUACCGCGUAAGCCGCGAGGUGAGAGGCUGCCUAUUGGUGGCCGCCGAUGGAUGGGUUCGCGUCCUAUCAGCUGGUUGGUGGGGUAACGGCCUACCAAGGCGAAGACGGGUAGCCGGUCUGAGAGGAUUAUCCCCCACACUGGUACUGAGACACGGACCAGACUCCUACGGGAGGCAGCAGUGAGGAAUAUUGGUCAAUGGACGCAAGUCUGAACCAGCCAUGCCGCGUGCAGGAUGACGGCCCUAUGGGUUGUAAACUGCUUUUCCACGGGAAGAACCCUCCGACGUGUCGGAGACUGACGGUACCGUGGGAAUAAGCAUCGGCUAACUCCGUG